Molecule: ribosomal RNA, 253 nt
Filed under: uncultured bacterium
Lineage: Bacteria
Description: partial 16S ribosomal RNA
Rfam family: Bacterial small subunit ribosomal RNA
Source: RNAcentral
UACGUAGGGGGCGAGCGUUGUCCGAAGUUACUGGGCGUAAAGGGCGCGUAGGCGGCGCGGUAAGUCACUUGUGAAAUCUCUGAGCUUAACUCAGAACGGCCAAGUGAUACUGCAGUGCUAGAGUGUGGAAGGGGCAAUCGGAAUUCUUGGUGUAGCGGUGAAAUGCGUAGAUAUCAAGAGGAACACCUGAGGUGAAGACGGGUUGCUGGGCCAACACUGACGCUGAGGCGCGAAAGCCAGGGGAGCAAACGGG